Saccostrea cuccullata (small rock oyster) is the source of this 1484-nucleotide long non-coding RNA. RefSeq lists it as uncharacterized. Lineage: Eukaryota; Metazoa; Mollusca; Bivalvia; Ostreida; Ostreidae. The record is from RefSeq and is a predicted model, not a curated record. The transcript is spliced from 6 exons.
UUAUAGAUAUUGAAGCUUGUAAACAAAACCAAUAAACGUAGGACUUAUUCACGGCAAUGUAUGGGAACCAGAACAGGGAACCAGUCUAGAAGGCAAAGAAAAUUCCGCCAAGUAAACAACAAAGAAAGGAAUUUGGGAUGUUGUCAGUUGUAUGUAUACAUUAUGUGCGACGGUGACUGCAAGAAAAAAGGAAUGUGGAGCUAAUGCAUGCUGCUAAGGAUGGGAAGGUCUUGUGUUUAUUGGUUGUGCCUGAGACACCAGUCACAGUUGUACCUUAUUUCCAUUUUAGGGAGUCUAUAUACAUUUGAGGUGAGCGACAGAUUUAAUUUUGAAGAAGGGUGACUUUCAGAUGUUGUGAUGAAGAUUGUUGAAAGGGAUUAUCAGCAUAAAACCAAUCCAUAUGAAUGUGCAAGUCAGAAAAAAGGAAUGUGGAGCUAAUGAAUGCUGCUAAGGAUGGAAAGGUCGUGUGUUUAUUGGUUGUGCCUGAGACACCAGUCACAGUUGUACCUUAUUUCCAUUUUAGGGAGUCUAGAUACAUUUGAGGUGAGCGGCAGAUUUAAUUUUGAAGAAGGGUGACUUUCAGAUGUUGUGAUGAAGAUUGUUGAAAGGGAUUAUCAGCAUAGAACCAAUCCAUAUGAAUGUGCAAGUCAGGACUUACAACACCUGAGUGCCUAGAUGACUGUUGAACUAAUUGGUGAACAAGAAAAGAUGUCAGAGAGGGGAAUCCAAUACAGAUGUCAUGAUCAAGAAUAUAUACUCUUAACAAUGAUAUGAUCAAGAAUAUGUAAACUUGUAAUGAUUUAAAAUAUUUUAUUUGUAAAUCACUCUUCAUUACUUAAUUGUUCACACAUUAUCAUCUACACUUAUGCUAUAAAUCUUAUCUGUAUAUUAAUCGCCCCCUCUUAUCUAACCCACCUGCUGAUUGUAAUGACCUGUGUAUUGACUCCUGAUCUUAAGGAUCUUGUAAUGUACUCCUGAUCGUCAGGAACAGAUCUUGAGUAUAUAUAUAUAGUGCGACAGAAUUUUAGAAUAAGAUAGGAAGAUGGAAAUAUAGAAGACUUAGUAGAUAGAACUGUUAGAGAUAGAUAAAGUUACUCACUUACUUGGACUAUUACAUAAUAAUUCUUGGAUAUAUAUGUACAUAUGAUUGUUUUACUUGAAUUUAUUUUUUGUGAAUUAUUUUUCCUGAAUGUUUCUAUUUAUGAUGUGCUGUGUAAAUAAACUGUAGACUAGAAUUUCGGCAUCUAUUUUCAAGAUAUGAGGAACAAGGAUAAAUUAAUUUAUUCAUGCAAACUGACAGUAUGAAAUGUGUUGUAAGACCGCUCGGUGCGGCGCUACAAACUAACUAGGAAAUAUCUUGGAGAUUUAUAGAUGAACAUGCAAGCAUUCAUGAUUUUGAAUGUUAUUCAGCAAGAGAGUUUUGCACAAAUUUAAUUUUCAGUACAGUAAUUUAAACCGGAUGUGUAAUUUUCAGUACAGUUAUG